AUUGAACGCUGGCGGCAGGCCUAACACAUGCAAGUCGGACGGUAGCACAGAGGAGCUUGCUCCUCGGGUGACGAGUGGCGGACGGGUGAGUAAUGUCUGGGGAUCUGCCCGAUAGAGGGGGAUAACCCCUGGAAACGGUGGCUAAUACCGCAUAACGUCGCAAGACCAAAGAGGGGGACCUUCGGGCCUCUCACUAUCGGAUGAACCCGGAUGGGAUUAGCUAGUAGGCGGGGUAAUGGCCCACCUAGGCGACGAUCCCUAGCUGGUCUGAGAGGAUGAUCAGCCACACUGGAACUGAGACACGGUCCAGACUCCUACGGGAGGCAGCAGUGGGGAAUAUUGCACAAUGGGCGCAAGCCUGAUGCAGCCAUGCCGCGUGUAUGAAGAAGGCCUUCGGGUUGUAAAGUACUUUCAGCGGGGAGGAAGGCGAUAAGGUUAAUAACCUUGUCGAUUGACGUUACCCGCAGAAGAAGCACCGGCUAACUCCGUGCCAGCAGCCGCGGUAA
RNAcentral lists this ribosomal RNA (506 nucleotides) under uncultured bacterium. Its description in RNAcentral is "partial 16S ribosomal RNA". It matches the Rfam family "Bacterial small subunit ribosomal RNA", at positions 30 to 523 of the family's 1533-position model. The record is from RNAcentral.